CUUUUCCUCCUCCUCUUCCUUCUCCUUCUCUCCCUCUUCUUCCUCUCCUUCCCUCCCCAUCUCCCUCUCCUCUUCCUCUUCCUUCUCCUCCUUCUCUCCCUGUUCCUCCUCUCCUUCCCUCCCCAUCUCCUCCCUCUCCUCCUCCCAGCCUCUUCCCUUCCUACAGACUCUCACUGUGUAUCCCAGGGUGACUGAAGUUGGAUGCUGAUUGUGUAUUGGGAACCAUCCCUCAGCCCCCCCCCCCACACCGAGCAUCCUCUUGUCUUUGCUGUCAUCUCUUCUCUGUGCCUCAUCUUAUUGCUGACUUGGAAAGAAAGCACAGCUCAUGGAUCCUGCUCAGUUGGCCAGAUACCAACACUGUGGUGACUGCUUGUUUUCCGUUUUCAGCCUUGAGUGCUUCUAUUAGUAAAGUCAGAGCGAGUGAUGAUGACCUACUACCUCUUCCAUUGUCAACAUGUCCUAGGAAUGUGUGUUCUGAUGUCGGGAAUGGAACUCAGCCCAUUCCAUUAGGAAAAACAGGAUAGAAUGAACUUAAACAUAGACCUUCCACAGUGGUCCAGCAAUCUCACUACUGGACCCAGAACUAAACUAAUUAUUCUGUCACAGAGCUGUCUUCCCUCUCUCAUCUAUCGUGUCGAUGUUUCUCUUGGUCCUUUACUCUGUGCUACUUCUGCAAGUAAGACUAGAAUGUCACUAGUAAGACUAGAGAAAUAAGGAGUGGACCAGUGGGGACUUCAACAGAGGAACACAUGUAAAGAAAAAGCGAUGGACCAGGCAACAGAGUACCAUCCGGCCUUGAAGAGGAGUGCAGGCCCUCAUUUGUAACAGCACAGAUCUCUUCCAAGAUAUUCAGUAGAAUACAGAACGUAAGAAGCCUAAACGUUUCCGGAGACCAAUAGAAGAUGGAACUUGUCACGUCUCCAGCAGACAUCCAUUGACCUGGGGUCCAGCAACCGCUCUGAUGCUGUUAACAGCAGCAUUUUCUCAUGAUCUGCAAGAGCUUGAAAAGCUGCUACAGCCGGGACUCCAGCCGUCAUGACUGACGUGGAGCACGCGUACCUCCCUCCUGCUCACGUUGCUGCAGCUCCUGUCUGCUGCUUAGCUCCUCUCACUGACUGGUGUUAUACUCUCAUUAGUCAAUUCAGUCUUCACAAGCCUGUCGAGCUGGUACCACAGCGACAGUGUUUACCAUGAGGGUUGAACUAAAAAUGGAACUCCUCUCAGGACAGGUGGUGGAACUGGCUCUUAGUUAAGUCCGAGUCUAACGCCAGAUGUUUUAGCCUGAUUUCGCCCCUCCCUCCCAUUAUAAGCCAUAAUGUGUGCUCUCAUAUAACCUUGCAGGAGUAAUCUACGUUUCUACGUUAACGAUGGCUGUAUAAGACUCACACCCUUAUGGUCUAACCUUCCAUGUUUCUCUCAUAGGAUGCCCUCUUUUAUUUGUAGGAUAAGUAUUAUGAAAUGUAGUAUAGAGUUUUUGUUUGUUUUCUUUUUUGAAAUAGGGUUUCUCUAUAGAGCCCUGGCUGUCCUGGAAUUUACUAUGUAGAGCAGGCUGGCCUCAAACUCACAGAGAUCCCCCUGCUUCUGCCUCUGAGUGCUGGAAUUAAAGGCGUGCGCCACCAAGCCCAGCUCAUCAGUAUGGGUUUUAAAGGACCAACCAGUUCUCAGAUUCUUCACUGAAAGCAUCCUUCUGACCUCAUUCUCCUGUUGCCUUAGCAACUGUGAGUGAUGAUUGGCAGAGCACGUGUCUGGGGCCCUGGUACUCCCAUUGGUGAGUUCCUGAGGAAAGCGGGUGCUGCCGCAGGCCCCGUGAAACCCAGUGAGACUGCAUUCGUGGGCUGCCUACCAGGCUGGACAGUUCCUCGUGAUCCAGACCUGUCAGCUUAUCUGUGAACGAUCUAAGCUUGUGCCUGGAGUGUGUGUGAAUUCUGAUUGGAUGAGGUGGGGUGGAGCUAGAAGGAGGAGUCGGCAGCGAGUAGUGAGAAGAGUUUAGCCCUUGCUGCAAGAUGGAUGGAGUAGUAGAAGCUGCUGUUGUAAGUGGUAGAAGCUAGCUGUUGUAAAAGAAGCCAAUAGUAGUGAAGAGAGUUUUUUAGCCCUUGCCCUAGGUAGAAGCCAGAAGUAGUGAAUAAGAGUAGCUUUAGCUCUUGCUGUGAGUAGUGGUAGAGUAGUGAGUAGUUUAGCCCUUGCCCUAAGAAGAAGCUGCUGGGGAAGAGAGCUGUAAAAGAAAAAGCCUGAAGUAAAGGCAUUGCUGCAUGAACCCAA
Molecule: long non-coding RNA, 2259 nt
Organism: Mus musculus (house mouse)
Lineage: Eukaryota; Metazoa; Chordata; Mammalia; Rodentia; Muridae
Product: predicted gene, 30055
Exons: 3
Source: RefSeq, a predicted model, not a curated record